GUCUACUGCCACACCACUCAGAAUGCACCUGAUCUCGGAAACCAAGAAGGGUUGGCCUGGUUAGUACUCGGAUGGAAACAGCUAUCUGAGGAAAUCCUGGUCUAAAUA
RNAcentral lists this ribosomal RNA (108 nucleotides) under Peromyscus maniculatus bairdii (prairie deer mouse). Lineage: Eukaryota; Metazoa; Chordata; Mammalia; Rodentia; Cricetidae. The record is from RNAcentral.